UGUAGCCAUAUCCUGUUGAAACACCUGUUCUCAUCUGAUCACUGAAGUUAGGCAAUGUUGAGCCUGGUCAGUAACUAAAUGGGUGACUGCAUGGGAAUAACAGGUGCUAUA
This is a non-coding RNA of Acanthosepion pharaonis, 111 nucleotides long. The record is from the annotation of a GenBank genome assembly. NCBI's taxonomy places the organism in Eukaryota, Metazoa, Mollusca, Cephalopoda, Sepiida, Sepiidae.